AAACCUUGUACCAAAUCAUGCAAGGUUGUAAAUCAUGACUGCAAAUCAUCCCUUGUGCCCUCUGACUCCGCGAAUGUCGCCUAUAUCUCCCUAUUUCAUCAAAUGAAUUCAAAAUCUCUAGUUUUCUAACUUUGACUCAAAGAUGAAACUUCAAGUCUUCAAGAUCUUCUUGUGCUGCAACAAAAUCAGAGCAUGCAUGAGCAUGUCAUUAUGUUUAUUCGAAAAUCAGAGGUCAAUUGCAAUGACCUAUGGAUUUUUGGUCUUUGUCCGAUGGUUUUCUCACCUACGACGGUUGUCUUUCACUCAGGUAAAUCUCCUACGAUUUUUCCCUCUGAUCUUUUGAUUUUCAAUUAUUUUGCUCGCAUCAUCAAUCUCUCUGUCACUCACCACUAUCGAUUUGAAUUUUGUUGAACCCUAAGGCUUAAAUGGCCACUAUAAAUAGGAGCCUUCAAUGCUCUCACCUAACACGACCUACCACCUAAUACAACAUAGAAAACGAAAGAUAAUUAAAAAGCCCUAGACUUUUCACUGAUUUUCUUUCCUUCUCCAGUUCUGAGUUCAUACACUGUCCGAGCUUGAGUUUGGCUUCUUAAUGACUAAACAAAAGGUUUUUCUUGGUUUGCUGCUUUAUAGAAGGUCAAUGUAUACUUACCCUCUCUUUUCUUUCAGUUAUAUGUGUUUAUUUAGUGAUUUUGAUGUCUUCUCUUUGUUUAUGAUGCAUGUUGGAAAUUGCUUGAUUGCCUGUUGUGUUUUCUGCCGUUCUUAUUAUCCUAAUUGCUUAUCCUCAUAAUACCCCCUGAUUUCUUUAGUGUUGCUAGUUAAUCUGUGACUUAGUUGGAUAACACCUGCUAUAAUAAAUGAUAAAAAUUAUGUUGAACUCUUGUGACUUCCGAUGUUCUUUUAACCAUGCCACCAUGUUAACUUGACUGAACUGUGAUCUUAGACCUAUACGAUGUUUUUGCUAGAAACUUAUAUUUGCUACUUCUAUAUUACACUAAUUAGGGGGUUAAUGAUGUUAUGCUACUUGUUGAUCGAUGACAUACUUAACUUGUAUAUUUUGAACCAUAUUUAUUAUGUACACUUAAGGAUCCAAUAUACGUUUGUUAUUGUAGUCUGAACUCACUAGUUUAGUUGUCUGGCCACUUGCCUUUCAAACAUGCCAUG
RNAcentral lists this long non-coding RNA (1164 nucleotides) under Nicotiana tabacum (common tobacco). Its description in RNAcentral is "long non-coding RNA (NTAB_LNC002857)". The record is from RNAcentral. Lineage: Eukaryota; Viridiplantae; Streptophyta; Magnoliopsida; Solanales; Solanaceae.